Long non-coding RNA from Cornus florida, 1003 nucleotides. RefSeq lists it as uncharacterized. The transcript is spliced from 2 exons. Lineage: Eukaryota; Viridiplantae; Streptophyta; Magnoliopsida; Cornales; Cornaceae. The record is from RefSeq and is a predicted model, not a curated record.
UCUUGCUUGUUGGAGAUAAAAGAAAGCACCUGACCGAAAUGCUGAGGGAAAAAAGGCAGGUUGAAUUGUGACGACGGUGGUUGUGACUUGCGGGGCCCACUGAACACUUUUUGGGUCAAAUUUUUAUAACUUUGAAUUUCCUUCACGUGGGUUUGGUCUUUUUGUUUUGUGUGUAUGUCAGAAAGUGAAGAUAUGAUAAGGAUGGAAUGUGGUGGGUUUGGCCUUUUUGUUUUGUGUGUAUGUCAGAAAGUGAAUAUAUGAUAUGGAUGGAAUGUGAUAUUGUCUGAUAUUUUUUUUUUUUUGAGAGUGUGGUGAGCAGUAUUGAUGUGUGUAUGGAGUUGAUGGGUUGAGUCGGUGGAUUGCCUUAUAUAUUUGAGUGUUGCGUGCACUGAUAAAAUACAAAGACACAGAAAGAAAGUAAGAGAAAAAAAUUAAAGAAGAUAGGAGAGAGCCGAGACAGAGAGAGAGAGAAACAGAGGAGUCGAGAGUUGCAGAGAAGCCGGAGCUUGAGAUUUUGACGAUUCAGUGCGGAAAUAUAUCUUAUUCAGUUUUCAGGUACCGAAGAUGAACAGAAAUCGCUAGUUUUGGGCUUAGGCUGAAGAGUUGGUGUUACAAGAUUUAUUUUAUUUAUUUGGAAAUUUUUUUGUGUAUUUGAGAAAAUUAAUUUUGUAUAAAAAAAGGAUAUUUUUUGUAAUCUUGAGUAUAUUUUGAUGUAUUUGAAUUUUAAUAAAUUGAAAAUUUUAUUAGAAAAAUUUGAGGUUGUGACAAUCAGAUGCAAUAUCUGUACUACAGAGAAUUCAGACUAUGUUUAGAGACCCAUUCACAACUUUGUACCUUCUUUAGUUUAUUGUAAUUUGGGCAAGUUGUUCAUUGUCUGUUGUAAAUGCUAAGGAAGCUCUAUGAUCUUGGAAUUUUGUGGUUUUACUAUUUAAACAUGUUGCCAAGAUCAUAAUUUUAUUAUAGGUGUGAAAUAAAUACAUACUUUUUUUGUUGUUUGGCAGAA